Molecule: non-coding RNA, 250 nt
Organism: Pelobates cultripes (western spadefoot toad)
Lineage: Eukaryota; Metazoa; Chordata; Amphibia; Anura; Pelobatidae
Source: the annotation of a GenBank genome assembly
CCCAAGAGCUAGCAGCUUGAUAUGCAGACCUCCCAGGAACUGGAUAGGGGGGCUCUGCAGCAGACAUUUAUCCAGUACAGAAACAAGGCAAGACUAGAACAGAUACCAAACAAGACAAGACUAGAAUAACCCAGAACCGGAGCAGGACAGAAAGCAGAACACGUACACAAGAAAGGGCAGGACAGGACUGUACAUGAACUGGGAAAACAAGACAAAAUAAAACAAGACCAGAGAUGCAAGGCAAAACAAG